GUCCUAGUGGUGUAAUGGUUAAACACUGGGCUGCUAACUCAAAGGUUGGUGGUUCAAACCCUCUCAGCGGCU
This 72-nucleotide transfer RNA is filed under the name Loxodonta africana (African savanna elephant). It matches the Rfam family "tRNA". From Rfam's summary of the family: Transfer RNA (tRNA) molecules are approximately 80 nucleotides in length. The record is from Rfam by way of RNAcentral. Lineage: Eukaryota; Metazoa; Chordata; Mammalia; Proboscidea; Elephantidae.